UUGAAGAGGCGAGACUGGAGCUGGAGAUCUGGAGAUGGGAAUAUCCAGCUGGAGGCAAAAGGAGGUCCAGAAAUGCUUAACUUUAAGGUCCAAUUUUUCUUCCCAAAAGUUUUGCUGCAAGGAAGCUGUCUGGUUCAAAAGGAUGAGUCUCCAGGAGGACAGAAGUCUGCUGGAGAAGAGGCUGAAGGCAUUAUAUCAGGACCCACCAGAUUUGAAAACCCUAAAAACUUUGGGGAAAUGGGGUAGUGUUUUCAUUGUUAGUUUUUGCCAAAGGCAGACUGCCUGCCUUUCUGGCUCAAAUGUCAAUGUAUCAAGGGCAUUGGGCAAUGCCCCCAAAUGCCAAUUGCCUGUACCUGUACCCCAAAGCUUUCCCGCCAUUAGUGAUGAGAGUCUAACCCCAUGUUGCAUUUCCCAUUUGUCUGUUUGGUCAGCAAUGUCCAGUCUUGACCAAAAGGGGGAUGUUGCCAACAUGGAAUCUAGGACCCCCAAACUUGUGUCAUGGUGGAAUAUGAUGAACCCCAAGUUUCAGGACUAACUUAUAGGUUGGAGACCCCAAAGCUUGGCCUUGUUCCCUUUUCCCAUGGGAAUCUACACUGAAGGGAAUCCCAGGCUAGCAGUUUUAGACUGAGUGGGGGGACCCUUAGGGGAAUGACAAUCCUAGUUAGUGGGACUAGGCCUAUGCUAAGGACCCUCCUUGUUUUAGGUUGUCUCCCCUAUGGUAUCAGACCCUUUCCCAAGAAGACCCACACGUGGGCAGGAACCAUCCUUUAGUAUCAUCCAUUGUAAGUAGCCCCUUCUCUUAUACCCUAUCUUCUAGCUAUGAUUCCUUUCCCAAGCUUGAUUGUAUCCUGACAAUGUAGUUUGAACACUCCCAUUUUCCUUGUAGCUAUAGUGAUGUCAGUCAUCUUUCCCUGCCCCUGGACUCCCCAAAUGGUAUAUAGGAUCCCCAAAUUCUUUUGUACCUUGGAGUCUCAUCUAGGGUGGUGGCACUCCCAGGGGUCAGUGACCAGAGCGGCCAGAGUUCAGCUCUGUGACUAGCCCUACUAGCACUGAACCCCUUUUGCCCUUGAUUAAAGAGUGAUUUUGACUAUUUAAUAGUUCUGUGUUUUUUCCCAGUCAACAACAGGAAGAACAGCUGUAGAAAUAAACCCAGAUACCUUUCUCA
This 1165-nucleotide long non-coding RNA is filed under the name Monodelphis domestica (gray short-tailed opossum). RNAcentral's name for it is "lncRNA (ENSMODG00000045677.1)". The record is from RNAcentral. Lineage: Eukaryota; Metazoa; Chordata; Mammalia; Didelphimorphia; Didelphidae.